Triplophysa dalaica is the source of this 783-nucleotide long non-coding RNA. RefSeq lists it as uncharacterized. The record is from RefSeq and is a predicted model, not a curated record. NCBI's taxonomy places the organism in Eukaryota, Metazoa, Chordata, Actinopteri, Cypriniformes, Nemacheilidae. The transcript is spliced from 5 exons.
GUGCAUUAUUUUUCCAACGACGUAUUUUUAUAUUAUAGUUAUUAUAUGGGAAGUUCGUGUGAAGACCCGUAGACGUGCUUUCGGCCAACAUCAAUACUGCGCACGAACACUGAUCACAUGCGAAAUGUGUAAAGAAUUGUCGUGAGGGAGAGAGAGCGCGAGACAGGAGAGAGCGUAUCAGCGCGCGCUGUCUCUGGGCCUGCUGCUGUCUGCGUGUGAACAGCGCCUCACCUGACUGACUGAAAAAAACACACCAAAUAAACACUGUAGUCUUUAUAGGUGUCCAUGGGUAUGCGAGCGACUGUGAUGGAGAAUGCCAAGAGUUUAGGGGGCUGCAUCUGAGACUGGCUCCAUGGAGUGUCCCCAUAACACGGUUGACGAAGGAGGUAUCCUGUGCUUCAGAUGUUAACGUAAAACAGCUCACGUGUUGAAGGUUUGGCCUGUGGUGGGAAGAUCAGGUUCUCGGCCUGCACAAAACUGCAAUGUCAAUCUCAGCGCUCAGCGCUCACAGCCUUGGACUAUGAUUUUUGGUCGUGACGGCUAUUCAUCAUGUCACUCAUAAGGAGAAUCUGUGACAUCUCCACAACAAAAUGGUACAAGUGACAAGCGUUUCGAACUAGAACAUGUGGAACAACUUUAGUUAUGGGCAUGAAAACAAAGAAUAUGUGUUCCUCCUUUUAAAAAUGGAAGACCUUUAUUUUCGAGUAGGGUUUGGGCCUUCGGGAGCAGCUUGUUUGUUUUGACUGGAGGUAGUAAUGUGGUAGAGGGAAACCAGGGAGACAU